AACGAACGCUGGCGGCAGGCUUAACACAUGCAAGUCGAGCGCCCCGCAAGGGGAGCGGCAGACGGGUGAGUAACGCGUGGGAACGUACCUUUUGGUUCGGAACAACACAGGGAAACUUGUGCUAAUACCGGAUAAGCCCUUACGGGGAAAGAUUUAUCGCCGAAAGAUCGGCCCGCGUCUGAUUAGCUAGUUGGUGAGGUAAUGGCUCACCAAGGCGACGAUCAGUAGCUGGUCUGAGAGGAUGAUCAGCCACAUUGGGACUGAGACACGGCCCAAACUCCUACGGGAGGCAGCAGUGGGGAAUAUUGGACAAUGGGCGCAAGCCUGAUCCAGCCAUGCCGCGUGAGUGAUGAAGGCCCUAGGGUUGUAAAGCUCUUUUGUGCGGGAAGAUAAUGACGGUACCGCAAGAAUAAGCCCCGGCUAACUUCGUGCCAGCAGCCGCCGUAA
RNAcentral lists this ribosomal RNA (447 nucleotides) under uncultured bacterium. Its description in RNAcentral is "partial 16S ribosomal RNA". It matches the Rfam family "Bacterial small subunit ribosomal RNA", at positions 29 to 523 of the family's 1533-position model. The record is from RNAcentral.